Long non-coding RNA from Oncorhynchus gorbuscha (pink salmon), 459 nucleotides. RefSeq lists it as uncharacterized. The record is from RefSeq and is a predicted model, not a curated record. Lineage: Eukaryota; Metazoa; Chordata; Actinopteri; Salmoniformes; Salmonidae. The transcript has 3 exons.
GACUGCUUUUGAAUGUCACUGGGAAGGUAUCCUCUUAUCUAAAUGGCAGGUCUAUUGAAAACACCACUGGAGGACCAUUUUAGAAGGAGACAGAGAGGCCCUGGACCCCCUAUACGUAAAAUGUAUGCAUGCGUGAUUGCCAAAACAAAGUCAUAUGGAAAUACUGAAAAAGCAACUGUCACCGACAUGAGGUCAAUGCUACAUUACGUAUAUCACCAACAGUCAUACAUCUGAGAUCAACCGUGGCAAUUUCAGGAUAGCCUAUCAAUUAAUAUCAUAUAAAGCUGUGCUUUUUUUCCCACGUGCCAAUCAUGCUGCUCCAUGCAUCAGAGGGAAGUGUGGAGAAUUGCUGCCUCAUCUACCCUAGCUAAAUUCAGAAUUUAAAUAUAUCUGUUGUUUGUGGCAAUGAUUCUGUAUUUAAGUGUAGCUGCCUCAUUUUGAAUAAACUGUGCUGAAUAA